Long non-coding RNA from Alligator mississippiensis (American alligator), 357 nucleotides. RefSeq lists it as uncharacterized. NCBI's taxonomy places the organism in Eukaryota, Metazoa, Chordata, Crocodylia, Alligatoridae. The transcript is spliced from 3 exons. The record is from RefSeq and is a predicted model, not a curated record.
AAAUAAUGACGAUCAUCUUUGGGGUUUUUUUACCAUUAAUUUUACAGAAGGCACCAAUCUAUUUUAGCUGCCCAUUGAAAAAGGGAAACCAAGGAAAAGGAAGAUUGAUUUGAGAAUGGAACAAAGAGGGAAGAAGCUGGAGAUAAAAGAAAAGAAGGAAAAUUAGAGAAAAGCAGAGAAGUGAAAAGAUCUUAGCAUCAUGAUAGUACAGUCACUGUUGUUAUAUAGAGAGGACCUAGUCCUAUGCCAUAGACAAAUGAAGACUUGAAAAAAGAUUUGAAAAAAAGAAAUGUUUAAACAAGAGAGUACAAAGCCGAGUUACAGAUCAAGCUUCAGGAUAAUUUGAUAACAUUAUAG